GCUAAUACAUGCAAGUCGCACGUUCACCCUUCGGGGUGCGAGUGGCGAACGGGUGAGGAACACGUGCGUACCGACCCUGCGGUGGGGAAUACCGGCUGGAAACAGCCAACAAUACGCGCAUACGCUUGGCACCAAGGAAAGCCUUCGGGUGCCGCAGGACGGGCGCGCGGCCCAUCAGGUCGUUGGCGGGGUAAGAGCCCACCAAGCCGGUGACGGGUCGCUGGUCUGCGAGGACGGCCAGCCAGACUGGGACUGCGACACGGCCCAACACCUACGGGUGGCAGCAGCAAGGAAUCUUCCCCAAUGGACGCAAGUCUGAGGGAGCAACGCCGCGUGGAGGAUGACGGCUUUCGGGGUUGUAAACUCCUUUUCGGUGGGAUGAUACGGACAGUACCAUCGGAGUAAGCCCCCGGCUAACUCUGUGCCACAGCCGCGGUAAGACAGAGGGGGCAAGCGUUGUCCGGAAAUACUGGGGCGUAAAGCGCGCGCAGACGGUGUGAGAUGUGCCUGGCGACAGUCCGGCGCUUAACGGCGGGAGGUCUGGGUAAACACUUACACUCGCACCAGAGAGAGGGUCGUGGAAUACCCGGUGGAGCGGUGAAAUGCGUAGAGAUCGGGUGGAACACCAGUGGCGAAGGCGGCGACCUGGCUCUGAGUGGACGUUGAGGCGCGACAGCGUGGGGAGCAAACGGGAUUAGAUACCCCGGUAGUCCACGCCGUAAACGGUGUGAAGCCGGUGCUGGUGGGUGAUUGCGCCUGUCGGUGCCCAAGGAUACCUGCUGACUUCACCGCCUGGGAACUACGGCCGCAAGGCUAAAACUCAAAGGAAUUGACGGGGGCCCGCACAAGCAGCGGGGCGUGUGGUUUAAUUCGACGCAACACGAAGCACCUCACCUAGGCUUGACAUGUACGUGCAUCCGCUUGAAAGGGCGGAGCCUUCGAGGGUCGUACACAGGUGCUGCAUGGCUGUCGUCAGCUCGUGUCGUGAGAUGUUGGGUUAAGUCCCGCAACGAGCGCAACCCUUGCCCGGUGUUACAUGUGUCACCGGGGACUGCCGGCACAGGGUGUCGGAGGAAGGCGGGGAUGACGUCAAGUCAGCAUGGCCCGUACGCCUAGGGCGACACACACGCUACAAUGGGGGGAGGAAUGCGCUGCCACGGGGUAACCCGGCGCAAAUCGCGAAGACCCCUCGUAGUGCAGAUUGGGGGCUGCAACUCGCCCCCAUGAAGGCGGAGUUGCUAGUAACCGCGUGUCAGCAAAGCGCGGUGAAUACGUACCCGGGCCUUGUACACACCGCCCGUCAGC
This 1305-nucleotide ribosomal RNA is filed under the name uncultured bacterium. Its description in RNAcentral is "bacterial SSU rRNA". It matches the Rfam family "Bacterial small subunit ribosomal RNA", at positions 46 to 1401 of the family's 1533-position model. The record is from RNAcentral.